RNAcentral lists this unclassified non-coding RNA (327 nucleotides) under uncultured fungus. RNAcentral describes it as "partial contains 5.8S ribosomal RNA, internal transcribed spacer 2, and large subunit ribosomal RNA". The record is from RNAcentral. Lineage: Eukaryota; Fungi.
AACGCACCUUGCGCCCUGUGGUAUUCCGCAGGGCAUGCCCGUUUGAGUAUCAUUAAAUCAUCAACCUCAAAACUUUUUUGUUUUUGAGUAAUUGGUCUUGAGGGUUUUUGCAGGCUUUUCAAAAGUCGGCUCCCUUUAAAUUUAUUAGCGAGACUUCCCUUUGUUUGAACCGGUCUCAUUGGCAUGAUAGUUAUCUGUGUCAAAGUUGGUUCUCGUUGGGCUUGCUUCUAAUCGUCUUUGGACAAACAGGACUUUUGAGUGCAUAUAUGCGCGCAAUUUCCAAGCCAUUUUGAUCUCAAAUCGGGUAGGAUUACCCGCUGAACUUAA